RNAcentral lists this non-coding RNA (184 nucleotides) under Chaetura pelagica (chimney swift). Its description in RNAcentral is "Eukaryotic small subunit ribosomal RNA". It matches the Rfam family "Eukaryotic small subunit ribosomal RNA", at positions 738 to 923 of the family's 1831-position model. The record is from Rfam by way of RNAcentral. Lineage: Eukaryota; Metazoa; Chordata; Aves; Apodiformes; Apodidae.
GGGGCCCGAAGCGUUUACUUUGAGAAAAUUAGAGUGUUCAAAGCAGGCCGGCCGCCGGCAUACUGCAGCUAGGAAUAAUGGAAUAGGACUCCGGUUCUAUUUUGUUGGUUUUCGGAAACGGGGCCAUGAUUAAGAGGGACGGCCGGGGGCAUUCGUAUUGUGCCGCUAGAGGUGAAAUUCUUGG